UAAUGAGUUUUAAUGGCUUUAAAUUCUUGAUGAUAGAAUAAAGCCUAUAAAUAGUUUUUGGUCCCCAAAGCUUUCUCUCAUCAGAAAAGAAAUACACCAUCUAUAUUGAGAGAGAAAGAGCUUGGAAGAAUCAAAGGCAGUGCACUCACAAUACUGCAACAAUGGUUGGAGGUAAAACCUCUAAUUCUAUUUCCGCAUUUUGUUUUAUU
RNAcentral lists this long non-coding RNA (209 nucleotides) under Lathyrus oleraceus (garden pea). Its description in RNAcentral is "Pisum sativum (pea) long non-coding RNA (PSAT_LNC013840)". The record is from RNAcentral. Lineage: Eukaryota; Viridiplantae; Streptophyta; Magnoliopsida; Fabales; Fabaceae.